Long non-coding RNA from Macaca mulatta (Rhesus monkey), 225 nucleotides. The record is from Ensembl. NCBI's taxonomy places the organism in Eukaryota, Metazoa, Chordata, Mammalia, Primates, Cercopithecidae.
CCGCUUGUGACGCCGCUGACGACGCGGCCGCAUGGAUCAGAGAGAAGCGAGGCCCUGCUUCUGAAGGGUUCGCUUGCGAUCGGCUGAGGGAAGCGGGCCCAGACUCUGUGAGGAGGCGAGGUUCGCAGGGAACAGGCCAGCCGGGAGGUCGGGAGGCCCCAGAGGAGCACUGAAGGAGACCUGCCUGUGGGUCUCAAUUGCCCAGCUCCGGCCCACACUCGCCUG